CCUACGGGGGUCUGCAGUGAGGAAUAUUGGUCAAUGGGCGAGAGCCUGAACCAGCCAAGUCGCGUGAGGGAGUACUGCCCUAUGGGUUGUAAACCUCUUUUGUCGGGGAGCAAAAGCCGGACGUGUCCGGCUGUUAGAGUACCCGAAGAAAAAGCAUCGGCUAACUCCGUGCCAGCAGCCGCGGUAAUACGGAGGAUGCGAGAGUUACCCGGAUUUAUUGGGUUUAAAGGGUGCGCAGGCGGAUUUUUAAGUCAGCGGUCAAAUCGUGGGGCUCAACCCCCUCCAGCCGUUGAAACUGGGGAUCUAGAGUGUGCGAGAGGUAUGCGGAAUGCGUGGUGUAGCGGUGAAAUGCAUAGAUAUCACGCAGAACCCCGAUUGCGAAGGCAGCAUACCGGUGCACAACUGACGCUCAGGCACGAAAGCGUGGGUAUCGAACAGGAUUAGAUACCCCGGUAGUC
This 458-nucleotide ribosomal RNA is filed under the name uncultured bacterium. RNAcentral describes it as "partial 16S ribosomal RNA". It matches the Rfam family "Bacterial small subunit ribosomal RNA", at positions 338 to 795 of the family's 1533-position model. The record is from RNAcentral.